GCCGGUGUGGCGGAAUGGCAGACGCGCCAGACUCAAAAUCUGGUCCGGGCAACCGGGUGUGGGUUCGACUCCCUCCACCGGCA
Molecule: transfer RNA, 83 nt
Organism: Methylacidiphilum fumariolicum SolV
Lineage: Bacteria; Pseudomonadati; Verrucomicrobiota; Methylacidiphilae; Methylacidiphilales; Methylacidiphilaceae
Rfam family: tRNA
About the family: Transfer RNA (tRNA) molecules are approximately 80 nucleotides in length.
Source: Rfam